AGGAGCAACCGCAGUGGCUGGGCCAGCCCUGGAGCCCUGGAGUCAGCUCCCUCAGUAAGUCCGGAGCUCUCGUCUGCAGGGCCUGGAGGCUCCGGGGCGGG
RNAcentral lists this microRNA precursor (101 nucleotides) under Canis lupus familiaris (dog). RNAcentral describes it as "mir-8834 microRNA precursor family". It matches the Rfam family "mir-8834 microRNA precursor family". The record is from Rfam by way of RNAcentral. Lineage: Eukaryota; Metazoa; Chordata; Mammalia; Carnivora; Canidae.